UACGGAGGAUGCAAGAGUUAUCCGGAAUUAUUGGGCGUAAAGAGUCCGUAGGUGGCGAUUCAAGUCUGCUGUCAAAGCGUGGAGCUUAACUCCAUUAAGGCAGUGGAAACUGAAUGGCUAGAGUCCGGUAGGGGUAGCGGGAAGUCCCAGUGUAGCGGUGAAAUGCGUAGAGAUUGGGAAGAACAUCGGUGGCGAAAGCGCGCUACUGGGCCGGAACUGACACUGAGGGACGAAAGCUAGGGGAGCGAAAGGG
RNAcentral lists this ribosomal RNA (253 nucleotides) under uncultured bacterium. RNAcentral's name for it is "partial 16S ribosomal RNA". It matches the Rfam family "Bacterial small subunit ribosomal RNA", at positions 524 to 776 of the family's 1533-position model. The record is from RNAcentral.